Molecule: long non-coding RNA, 992 nt
Filed under: Mytilus galloprovincialis (Mediterranean mussel)
Lineage: Eukaryota; Metazoa; Mollusca; Bivalvia; Mytilida; Mytilidae
Source: RNAcentral
GUUUUCCUUGACCGGUACUUAUAAAUUAAACAACAAACAGAUUUGUUUAAAAUGUUGUUCAAUAUUGCACCAGUAUUUAUCAUCUUUUUUCAUGCAUUUACUGCUUAGUGUCUGUAGCUGUAUCAUUGUGUAUCAUUGACCUCAAUAGUUUCUUUUUAUUCAAAGUUGUAAAGGGUUUUUCGUUGACAGGAGUGUUAUAUGUGAUAAAAUAUAAGAAUUAGAAUGUAUUUUUCAUGAAAAACAAAAGUAAAGGUUGAAUGUAUAAAAUUAAGUCUUAAUAUUUUUAUCUCCUGUCAUGUCAAAAAUGUAAACAAAUCACCCCAAGCUUGUUUUUUCUGACUGUUAAUGACACCUUUACACUAAAUCCAUUGAAUGUUGGAUGUGUACUGAUUGAUAAUUAAGUUUUAGAUGCAUGAUUUUUUUAUUAGUUGUUAUUGGCUUCGAACUAGCUGUCAGUAACUGCGAGUACUCACAGAUCUGUACUUAGUGUCUUUUUGUUGUUUACAUGUACAAGUACCCGUGUUUUUGUUAGAUUUAUUUCUAUGUGUAUCGAUCAGACGAGUUAAGCCUUUUCAACUGAUUUUUAUAGUUUGUUCUAAUAUUUGUACUGUUACUGGAGGUUAGGGGAGGGUCGGCUAGUUUAACUCUGCCACAUUCUGUAUGUGCCCGUCCAAAGUCAGGAACCUGUAAUUCAGUUGCUGUCGUUUGUUGCCGUGUUACAUAUUUGUUUUUUUAUAUUAAUUUCUUGAAAAACUUCAUAUGUGAGAGCGCUAACAAUACCAGACAGUCACCUGGUUUUUCUCUGUCCACUGCAAUGUGUCGCAUGGGGACAAAUAAAGGCAACAGCAGUAUACCGCUGUUCAAAAAGCAUAAAUCCAUGGACAAAAAACCAAAUUGGGGUAACAAACUAAAACCGAGGGAAACGCAUUAAAUAUAAGAGGAGAACGACACAACACUGAAAUGUAACACACACAGAAAUGGACCAAGCAUCA